UUUUUUUUUUUUUUUUUUUUUUUUUUUUCAAAUAAUCACAACUAAUAUAUUACAAAUUUUAUAUCUUUUAAAAAGGCAAUGCAUGCAUCACAUAUUAUUCGUGCAUUUAUCUUGUAGUUUAAGUUCAUCAGAAAUUUACCACAGAAUAUUAGUCGACCUAUCACAUAUUUGAUUGGUACUGACAAAAAGGUUUCAAAAUACUCAUCCCAGCAUACAAAAUAAUAAAUGUGUUGUUUUUAUUUUGUCUUUCUUGAUUUUUUUGUCAAGUUAUGCUUAUAUGAAUCAAAAGUUGUCCUUUUGAAAUACACUGAAGUACCAGAAAUGUAAUGAAAUGAUUUUGUUGUGGUUUGUGAAAUGUAGGCCUCAAAGUGUGUAAAAGUUUACUGUUGCAAUUAUAAAAAAAAAUAACAUCAAACACAUUAAUAUAAGUUACAAAGGUACUUAUGCAAAUCCCCAUAACUUUAUAGUCAGAUAUACAAUGUGACUAUUUCCACUCCAAGUAAUAACUAAACUAAAUGUGUCUGGAUUUUUUUAGUAUGUUAUUUAGCAUGAGGGGAAAAAAACUAAAGUGGAGAAAAAUUUUUCAAGAUCAUUGUUAUUUAUUCAGAACGUACUUGACCAUUAUAAAGUAUGUUUCAAUUAUAAUGGUCCAAUCAUAUGUUUCAUGAUUGGCAAUCGGUUGC
Biomphalaria pfeifferi is the source of this 683-nucleotide non-coding RNA. Lineage: Eukaryota; Metazoa; Mollusca; Gastropoda; Planorbidae. The record is from the annotation of a GenBank genome assembly.